UCUGCUGGGUUGGCUAAGCUCCUAAUUAAAUUAUAAAUGUGGCCAUAUGUUGUGCUGAAAGUCUGAUUAUUAAUUACUUAUUAAUUACCACAGGGGCAAGCAGGACGAGACGGUUAUCCGGGGCCACUGGGAUUGGAUGGUAAGCCGGGAUUGCCGGGACCUAAAGGUGAAAAGGGAGAGCCAGGAGACUUUGGCCCACGGGUAAGCCCCUCUUGAAUGCACUCUAACACGCCUGAAACCGUGGAGCGUAUGCCUCCUUUAAUAGGCUAAGCUUAAGUAGCCAGAUG
This 287-nucleotide long non-coding RNA is filed under the name Phascolarctos cinereus (koala). Its description in RNAcentral is "lncRNA (ENSPCIG00000033360.1)". The record is from RNAcentral. Lineage: Eukaryota; Metazoa; Chordata; Mammalia; Diprotodontia; Phascolarctidae.